CCGGCGAUGUCCGAAUGGGGAAACCCAGUGCAAUUCGUUGCACUAUCGUUAACUGAAUACAUAGGUUAACGAGGCGAACCGGGGGAACUGAAACAUCUAAGUACCCCGAGGAAAAGAAAUCAACCGAGAUUCCCCCAGUAGCGGCGAGCGAACGGGGAGCAGCCCAGAGUCUGAAUCAGCUUGUGUGUUAGUGGAACGGUCUGGAAAGUCCGACGGUACAGGGUGAUAGUCCCGUACACCAAAAUGCACAGGCUGUGAACUCGAAGAGUAGGGCGGGACACGUGGUAUCCUGUCUGAAUAUGGGGGGACCAUCCUCCAAGGCUAAAUACUCCUGACUGACCGAUAGUGAACCAGUACCGUGAGGGAAAGGCGAAAAGAACCCCGGCGAGGGGAGUGAAAAAGAACCUGAAACCGUGUACGUACAAGCAGUGGGAGCACCUUCGGGUGUGACUGCGUACCUUUUGUAUAAUGGGUCAGCGACUUAUAUUCUGUAGCAAGGUUAACCGUAUAGGGGAGCCGCAGGGAAACCGAGUCUUAACUGGGCGUUAAGUUGCAGGGUAUAGACCCGAAACCCGGUGAUCUAGCCAUGGGCAGGUUGAAGGUUGGGUAACACUAACUGGAGGACCGAACCGACUAAUGUUGAAAAAUUAGCGGAUGACUUGUGGCUGGGGGUGAAAGGCCAAUCAAACCGGGAGAUAGCUGGUUCUCCCCGAAAGCUAUUUAGGUAGCGCCUCGUGAACUCAUCUUCGGGGGUAGAGCACUGUUUCGGCUAGGGGGUCAUCCCGACUUACCAACCCGAUGCAAACUACGAAUACCGAAGAAUGUUAUCACGGGAGACACACGGCGGGUGCUAACGUCCGUCGUGAAGAGGGAAACAACCCAGACCGCCAGCUAAGGUCCCAAAGUCAUGGUUAAGUGGGAAACGAUGUGGGAAGGCACAGACAGCCAGGAUGUUGGCUUAGAAGCAGCCAUCAUUUAAAGAAAGCGUAAUAGCUCACUGGUCGAGUCGGCCUGCGCGGAAGAUGUAACGGGGCUAAACCAUGCACCGAAGCUGCGGCAGCGACACGAUGUGUUGUUGGGUAGGGGAGCGUUCUGUAAGCCUGCGAAGGUGACCUGUGAGGGUUGCUGGAGGUAUCAGAAGUGCGAAUGCUGACAUAAGUAACGAUAAAGCGGGUGAAAAGCCCGCUCGCCGGAAGACCAAGGGUUCCUGUCCAACGUUAAUCGGGGCAGGGUGAGUCGACCCCUAAGGCGAGGCCGAAAGGCGUAGUCGAUGGGAAACAGGUUAAUAUUCCUGUACUUGGUGUUACUGCGAAGGGGGGACGGAGAAGGCUAUGUUAGCCGGGCGACGGUUGUCCCGGUUUAAGCAUGUAGGCUGGUUAUCCAGGCAAAUCCGGAUAAUCAAGGCUGAGGUGUGAUGACGAGG
This 1423-nucleotide ribosomal RNA is filed under the name Klebsiella quasipneumoniae. RNAcentral's name for it is "partial 23S ribosomal RNA". It matches the Rfam family "Bacterial large subunit ribosomal RNA", at positions 104 to 1574 of the family's 2925-position model. RNAcentral also lists the same sequence under 1 other name. Lineage: Bacteria; Pseudomonadati; Pseudomonadota; Gammaproteobacteria; Enterobacterales; Enterobacteriaceae. The record is from RNAcentral.